UACGUAGGGUGCAAGCGUUGUCCGGAAUUAUUGGGCGUAAAGAGCUCGUAGGCGGUUUGUCGCGUCUGCUGUGAAAACCCGAGGCUCAACCUCGGGCCUGCAGUGGGUACGGGCAGACUAGAGUGCGGUAGGGGAGAUUGGAAUUCCUGGUGUAGCGGUGGAAUGCGCAGAUAUCAGGAGGAACACCGAUGGCGAAGGCAGAUCUCUGGGCCGUAACUGGACGCUGAGGAGCGAAAAGCAUGGGGAGCGAACAGG
This 255-nucleotide ribosomal RNA is filed under the name uncultured bacterium. Its description in RNAcentral is "partial 16S ribosomal RNA". It matches the Rfam family "Bacterial small subunit ribosomal RNA", at positions 524 to 776 of the family's 1533-position model. The record is from RNAcentral.